CAGCAUUUUUCCAAGGGCUGUGGCUGGUUGUGGCCAUGGGAUCUCCAACUGCAUACUGAGAAACCUGGAGUGACUGACAGUUCAGGUCAUUACAAUACCUGCAGCUGCCAUUUGUCUUUCCUAUAGUG
RNAcentral lists this small nucleolar RNA (128 nucleotides) under Castor canadensis (American beaver). Its description in RNAcentral is "Small nucleolar RNA SNORA44 (ENSCCNG00000026547.1)". It matches the Rfam family "Small nucleolar RNA SNORA44". From Rfam's summary of the family: ACA44 is a member of the H/ACA class of snoRNA that guide the sites of modification of uridines to pseudouridines. Lineage: Eukaryota; Metazoa; Chordata; Mammalia; Rodentia; Castoridae. The record is from Rfam by way of RNAcentral.